AAGUCGUAACAAGGUCUCCGUUGGUGAACCAGCGGAGGGAUCAUUACCGAGUACUAUAACUCAUAACCCUUUGUGAACCUUUAUAACCUGUUGCUUCGGCGGCGCGUGCCCCCCGGGGCCGCGCCCGCCGGUAACCAUCAGAAUCUCUGUUUGAACCCGACGAUACAUCUGAGUGUUCUAAGCGAACUGUUAAAACUUUCAACAACGGAUCUCUUGGCUCCA
Molecule: unclassified non-coding RNA, 222 nt
Filed under: Paragibellulopsis chrysanthemi
Lineage: Eukaryota; Fungi; Ascomycota; Sordariomycetes; Glomerellales; Plectosphaerellaceae
Description: Gibellulopsis chrysanthemi partial internal transcribed spacer region
Rfam family: Eukaryotic small subunit ribosomal RNA (bases 1-46)
Source: RNAcentral